Molecule: ribosomal RNA, 799 nt
Filed under: uncultured Ralstonia sp.
Lineage: Bacteria; Pseudomonadati; Pseudomonadota; Betaproteobacteria; Burkholderiales; Burkholderiaceae
Description: bacterial SSU rRNA
Rfam family: Bacterial small subunit ribosomal RNA
Source: RNAcentral
AGAGUUUGAUCCUGGCUCAGAUUGAACGCUGGCGGCAUGCCUUACACAUGCAAGUCGAACGGCAGCAUGAUCUAGCUUGCUAGAUUGAUGGCGAGUGGCGAACGGGUGAGUAAUACAUCGGAACGUGCCCUGUAGUGGGGGAUAACUAGUCGAAAGAUUAGCUAAUACCGCAUACGACCUGAGGGUGAAAGUGGGGGACCGCAAGGCCUCAUGCUAUAGGAGCGGCCGAUGUCUGAUUAGCUAGUUGGUGAGGUAAAGGCUCACCAAGGCGACGAUCAGUAGCUGGUCUGAGAGGACGAUCAGCCACACUGGGACUGAGACACGGCCCAGACUCCUACGGGAGGCAGCAGUGGGGAAUUUUGGACAAUGGGGGCAACCCUGAUCCAGCAAUGCCGCGUGUGUGAAGAAGGCCUUCGGGUUGUAAAGCACUUUUGUCCGGAAAGAAAUCGCACUUACUAAUAUUAGGUGUGGAUGACGGUACCGGAAGAAUAAGGACCGGCUAACUACGUGCCAGCAGCCGCGGUAAUACGUAGGGUCCAAGCGUUAAUCGGAAUUACUGGGCGUAAAGCGUGCGCAGGCGGUUGUGCAAGACCGAUGUGAAAUCCCCGGGCUUAACCUGGGAAUUGCAUUGGUGACUGCACGGCUAGAGUGUGUCAGAGGGGGGUAGAAUUCCACGUGUAGCAGUGAAAUGCGUAGAGAUGUGGAGGAAUACCGAUGGCGAAGGCAGCCCCCUGGGAUAACACUGACGCUCAUGCACGAAAGCGUGGGGAGCAAACAGGAUUAGAUACCCUGGUAGUCC